GCAAUGAAAAAAAAACAGGAAAUUUCCACUGUAAGAUGUUCUAAAUGAAGUAUUUAAUAUACUAAAUACACACCCAGCUAAUUUUUAAAAAAGUUUUGUAGAGACAGGAUCUUUGUAUGUUGCCCAGGCUAGACCACAUUUUUCUGUAGAAAUAAUGAGUCGCAGAAUUUAGGAAAUGGGAGAAUAUUACUGCCCCACUGGAUUUGGGGAAUCUCGGCUCUUAACAGAAACUGGGCUUAAUCAUUCAAAAUGAAGUUGGUUUCUUUCACACCUGGGUUUGCAGACUGAGCCACCAGAUCGUGCCACUGUACUCCAGCCUGGCUACAGAGCAAGACUCUGUCUCAACAACAACAACAAAAAAAAAAAAAAAAAAAAAAAGAAAGAAAGAAAAAAAUGAACUAACGUAACUAAAGAGUAGAAUAGAGCCUGGGAGAGGUGCUGAUGGGGAGAAGAAAGGAUGGGGAGAGGUUGGUUAUGGGAUACGAAAUUACAGCUAGUGGUUCAUGCCUAUAAUCCCAACACUUUGAGAGGCCAAGGCGGGCGGAUCUCCUGAGGUCAGGAGCUCAAGAGCAGCCUGGCCAACACGGAGAAACUCCAUCUCUACUACAAAAAUUAGCCAGACGUGGUGGCGCAUACCUGUAAUCCCAGCUACUUGGGAGGCUGAGGCAGGAGAAUCACUUGAACCCGGGAGGCAGAGGUUGCAGUGAGCCAAGAUCGUACCAUUGCACUCCAGCCUGGGUGACAGAGCAAGACUCUGUCUCAAAAAAAAAAAAAAAAAAUUACAGCUAGAUAAGAGGCAUGAGUUCUGGACUUCUGCAGCACCACAGAAUGAAUAUGGUUAAUAAUAAUUUAUUGUAUAUUUUCAAAGAAGUAGAAAAGAAGAUUUUGAAUGUUCACAACACAAAGAAAUAAUAAAGGUUUGAGCUGGUGGAUUUGUUACCCUGAUUUGAUCAUUAUACAUUGAGUACACAAAUAUCACUAUGUAUCCCAUACAUAUGUAUAAUUAUCAUGUGUCAACUAAAAAUAAAAAGCAUAAAAAACCCAAAGAUAUUUGGCUACCAAGUUCUUGGUAGACGUGGAGCCUCAAGAUCAGUUCUGGGUGGAUUGUGAGUAUCUUCUAGACAUCCCUCAAGCCAUUCCAAUUUCUUUUCGACUUUCAGCAUUUCCUCUUGUCAGAGUUUGUAUUCAGCUUAUGAAGCAACCAUUUUAACUAUUUUUCUAGAAUCUCAGUAGUUGCCUUCCUGAGCAAGUCAUUACCACGAGGUUUUUAUUCCUGCUUUCCAUGGCUAAUCACACUCGAGGGGCCACAUACAACCCUCCAGGAAACUGACCACAGGUCACUUCUUCAUUACACGAAUACUUUAAGAGACGUCUUAAUUCUUCUUCCAGCUUCUUCAGCCUUUUCCCCACCCACCCCGACCUCCACAGGAAAGAAAUAAGACCAAGGAAAGCAGCAGCACGCCCUCCCUCUGCCACUGUCACUUCACAGCUCCUUCCCAGUAGAGCCCACUCUAAGCCACGUCCGUGGCCUCUGCCCGCUUUCUGCUCAGGAGUUUGGGGCUGGAGGCAGACUUCGCAUUUCCACGUUGCUGCUGUCAUGCCCCAAAAUAGUAACUCCCCUCCCACCGUCCUUCAAACACACACGCUUUUCCCUUUGCUUGCUUGACUUGCACAAAAGAAAGAAAACAUUCUCACAUCCUGGACUUCUGCCAGCAUUCAAAAAGAAUUAAACUUCCCUCAUUUUCAAAGAGACUCCUUCUCCAAGGCUUCUAAGCUCAGAUGUUCAACUCCAGGGGGCUGCUGAAGCUUUGCUUGACCUUUCCUUGAGACCUACCUACAACACAACCAGCGACCUUGUGGGCAGAGGGACAAGGGUUUUGUUAUCUGUUUCCUGUUGUCUCGGCUGCUCAGGCUGAUGGGGACUGGGAGUCUAUGGCGGGGCAGAGGUUCCUGCUGAGGACAGAAGUGAGCUCAUGUCCAUCGGCCUUCCGGAAGAACAGGCUCAGCGCCUGUCCACUUUCAGCCUCUUUGCUAUGUUCUGUCAAAUGUGUUUUGAAAUCUGAUGGGAAUUUUUCAGGUUUCUUCUCCCGAAUUUUCUCACCCAGUGGUCUCAAGCCUGUUGACAGUAGUAAGCACCAUUAUGUCUGCGGUGGGAGGAGUUGUUUCCUACCCGAGGUAGAUGACUGGGAAAACAACACAGUGUAGCAGAAAGAACCAGGUUUUCAUCAUCAGACCAGCUCGGAUCAGUGUAACAAACCUGCCACUCAUUCGCAGUUUCUUGGACAAGAAACUGGCCUUUCUGAACAUUAAUUUCUCUGACUUUAAAAUUAAAAACACCUAUUUCUGCCUUACAUGUUUUGUUUCUUAAUUUAAAAAUCAUCCAUGCAAAAUUACUUGGGCAGUGCUUGCCACAGUGUGGGUCAUCAACACCUUGUUGUGGGAAGUAUGUUUUCCAUGCUCUUUGACACUUUGCAUGAGCUAGAUCACAAUAGGAACUUAGGACAGCCACAGAAUGAUAGAUAAGGAUUAAUCUUUUAUCUUUUAGAGAUAAAAGCUAAGUAGACAUUGAGUUUUUUUAAAAUAAAACUGAUGGACUGUUAACGAAAAUGAAUGUUCACUUCACCUGUUGUGCAUGAAAGCACCCCAUUUUUGCAAUGGAUACUUAGCAGUUGAGAAGAUUGAAAACAUUUAGGCCUCAGAGUCAAGGAGUAAGGUAUGAUUCAAACUUGCUAAAAAUAAAAUGUGGAAAAUUUGAAUACAAAUUCCAGCAUUUCAAGCCCCGAAUGCUCAGUAAUAUGAAUAUGAAAAAAUAAGUUUUACCUCUGAUUUCCAUCUUCAAGCAUAUGUACAAUUUCAUUUGAAAGAUGUAUUCAAUCUAUUUAUAUCUGCUCUGUCUUAGGACCUAGGGAUUCAGCAGUGAACACAGCAAGCAAUUUUUUUACAUUCAUGGAGCUUAUCUUCUGGUAAAGUUUCAUCUUGGACAUUUAAAAUUAAUACCAAUUCCUGCACUUAUUUCUGAGAAAUUUUAAUUCAAUUGUUGUAUAGGUUGGGGCCAAGACUUGAUUGUUUUCCAAAGUUCUUCAAAUGACUGUUACCUGCAGCCAAGAUUGCAUGGCUGGUAAAGGCCCUCGCAGAUCAGCUGAGGAUGCUGGGUUUUAUUCCAGUGAGAUGACAAGACGUGGGGGCUCUUGAGCAAAGGAGCACUGUGAUCUGAUGAGCAUCCCAACUGACGUGUGCAGACAAGAAUAAUGCUGAUGGGAGGACAGCAGGGGAAGGGACCAGUUAAAUGAGACGAGCUCCUUAAAGAAAACUCUAACAUACAGCUACAGAAAUUGAUGAAAUACUAAAUUAUAUGCCCAGUGGCCCAAAAGUGUGAUGUAAAAUUUGAAAAGGGAAAAAAAGUUCAGGGUGUGAUAAAGUUGUCAGCGAAGGAUU
Molecule: long non-coding RNA, 3435 nt
Filed under: Homo sapiens (human)
Lineage: Eukaryota; Metazoa; Chordata; Mammalia; Primates; Hominidae
Description: non-protein coding lnc-FOXQ1-22:1
Source: RNAcentral